Long non-coding RNA from Oxyura jamaicensis (ruddy duck), 4397 nucleotides. RefSeq lists it as uncharacterized. The record is from RefSeq and is a predicted model, not a curated record. The transcript has 2 exons. NCBI's taxonomy places the organism in Eukaryota, Metazoa, Chordata, Aves, Anseriformes, Anatidae.
GCCUCUCACUUGGGCAGGGCCCCGCCUGCCCCUGGCCACGGGCGGCUCGUCUGGCGGCUGCGGGCUCCGGCAGCGUCUGCUCCGUGCGGGCCCGGGGCCCUCAGGAUGCCCUGCGGACGCCCGCUCGCGGCGCGGCCCAAGGGAGCUGCGGCUGUCCGCUACCGUCUGAAUGGCUGUGCUCCCAGCGACCUUUGGAGGACAGGCCUCUGGCCUUCCCUUGCUGCCGGCUGCUGCUACGGUUUCUUUAAUAGGGAAUGAGUUGCUUUGCCUGUACGCCUCAGACGUAGAAAUAAAGGGAAGAAAAUCAGCUACGGCAAUUUUAAAGAACCUAGCUCCCUCUUGUGGUAUGCUGUGUGCCCUGUGGUGUCCUGGGAAUGUUAGAGAAUCCCUGUUGGUGAAAUACAACUGUUAAAGCUGUUUCUGUUGCAGCUGUGAGUUGCUCUUAGCUAUGGGCCUUGGCUGACAGAAGAGAUGAGUGAGACUUAGCAGGAAGAAUAGAGAGCUACAAAUAGAGAUUUUGGAGUGAAGAGCUAUGUGAUCAUGGGCCAUUCUUUCAGCAGCUUUCACUGGUCAAUGUCUGGACCACUGAGGAUCUGAGAAAGAUCUUAAGUAACGCCCAAGAAAAAUAACUUCUUAGACCCUAACCUGACAUCCAUGGACUGAAGUGAUCUAAGCUGCAGAAGGCACCCUUAGGAGAGCUGCCCACAAGCACACCUUCACCAUUGUUGAGUUUGACUAAAGACAGGUGAAGUAGUUGAAGGUUGGCUCAUGAAGAACUGUAAUGGAGGGCUGUGAGGCUAUAUUUGUUGACUUUUGGUAUAAGUAUCUGUUUAUUUCAAAAGUUUUCUAUUUGUGGCCUAGUAGGCUAGAAUUCUAAAGAAUUACAUGUGGAGGUAAAAAAUACUUAGGAAGAGGGUUUAGAUAUGUGAUUCUUGAGCUGUACUUUGCAUGUUUUUACAUGUGUACGUUAUCUGCGUGUAGCCGUAGUGCUGGUUACACCUAGAGGGAAGGCUGCAUGUUUUAAAGUACUCUGAGGCUCUAGGAUGAUAUACGAGCUGUAGCUAAUGACCAAUAACUUCUUCAAUAGUUAAGUUGUUCUUCUGUAAUCAAGAAGUCUUUGUUUUUAAAAACCCAGGCUUGACUUACAGGCUAAUGAUUUAAGAUCUUGACUUCUAGAACAGAAGACAACGUAUAUGCAUAGUAUCUAGUGUUCUUUGGGCUUUGAUUUCUGAUUGUUCUUUGACACUGCCAUAAUGAAAAUGACAGAUGGUUAGGCGCUGUUAUUCUCAACAUUGACAUUUCACUUCCUUAUCUACAAAAAGUAUUAAUAAAGCAUGCUUCUGGAACUUUUUUUUUUAAUUAAUAUAUAGGCUUAACUUUGUGUUUUGUUUCGUUUUUGUAAUCUUUUCAUACUACUUUUUGUCUCUCUGAACACAAAUGAUGAUACACAGUGACACUACAAGUAAAAAUGCCAGUGACUAAAAGUUCUGCUAUCCAGUGUCCUCAGUAAGUUUGACCUGAGUACUAUGACCUGAUUUAGCCAUUUAGCCUGGCUACUGUGAUAGUGGGAUUCCUCUGUAACAAGAAAACUACUCGUCACAAAUAGGCUUUAAAACAUCAGAGUCAGGGCAGGGAGACAAAAGUCUAAUUUGAUCUUGAAAAGGUUGAAAGCCUUUAGACUCUUGUAAAGAUGCGAUUACAACUCUUAAGCAGGCUCAGUUACAACUCUUAAGCAGAUUGAGCAUUACUUGUUAUCUGACAAGGGCAAUUCUUCAAUCUGACAAAUUCAGUUAGGGAUGGUUAUAGAGAUUCUUGAAAACAUAUUACGUAAUUAAUGUCAAAAAUGUGUCUAUCCCAAUUGCUGUACUCCUUUGACAAAACAGAUAUUGGUAGCUCUCAGGUAGGUUAUGUGCCCAGCUGUGUACUAAGUCACUGAGCUGCCUGGUGUGUUCAAAUGUGUGGCAUUCUAUGAGCUGAGUGUAUGAAGUUUAUGUAACGAUGCUUCCAGGUUUGGUGCCUGUAUAUGUAUAUAGGCACUUUGGUGUAUGUAGUAAUUGCAGUUAUAGCAGCCUCAGGGAACCCUCAAAAUACUGUUAAUGUGCCUUACUAAAACCUAUGUACCAGUGAAAGAAAUGUGAGUAAAUUUUGGAAAACAAAUGCUCGGCAGUGAAUGAGUUUAAUUCUAGCACUUCUAACAGUUUUGAUUACAUUUGUCCUUGGAAUACCUGGAAGAACGUUGGAGCAUAAGGAAAUAAAGGGACAGGCUCAACGAGUAAAUUUUGCUAAAAAUUUCCCAGAAUAAAAUGUCAGCAGUAGUUCUUAGAAUAGAUUCUGAGAGUUUUCUUACUUAAUUAGCUGGAGAACUGGACAUGGAAGUAUAUUUAUAUAUAUGGAAAUCUGACAAAUCUUAAGAAAAUGCACAGUGGCAGCAUUUUGAUCUGAAGGUUCUAGUGAUUAAAAGUCGUUGCCAUGAUUCUUAAGUUCUUUUUGUGUAACCAAGCUUGAGGAUUAUAAGAAACUACAUGUGUAUUCAAAAGGCUAGAAAGCAACAAUGAGGUAUUGAAUUUAAAGGCAAAAGCUGUCUGCACAACUGGCAUUUUGCCCUUAGGAGAAGGGCAUUUUGUGGACAAAAUCAGGCCACCUGAGAAGUUGCAACUGUAGUUUUAACAUGCCAGAGAUCAUGACAUAAAAUGAACACAUGCUGAUUUUUUUUAUUAUUUAUUUAUUAUGUUAAAAAAUGCAUCUGAAUUAAAAUACAGUAGUUAAGAAGUAAGCAAAUGUUGGUGACAUUUAUUAAGAAGACUGUUGUACUUGAUCAAAAGAAAUUUAGUCUCUGGUCCAUUUUAAGACGUAGUCUCGGAGUACUCUUCCAGCAGCUGUGACCUGUGGGUAACACGUUUCAUGAGCCCAUGUCUUUGAACAUCUACCUCUGUCCAUGUGAUUUGAGAAGCUAGACAAAAUUUUAAGAUUCACAAUAUUUGGUGGGAAAGUGAAUUUUAGUGUAUCCAUGUGCUGCCUGAAGAGAGAUUUGUGAGUGUGUGUGUGUGUGUGUGUUGUGUGUUUAAACUUGCUAUUUUGUAACUCAAUUUGAUGGCUAUUAAGACUUUUAUUGUAGAAGAUGGUGAAUAGUACCAUUUCCACGAUAGCUACAGAGCUGUCUCUCCUUCCCUUCUUUGCACUCUUUGUGGUUGAAGAAACAGAAUCUGUUUCGUACAGCAGGUGGUUUGUACCUUUAUUGUUUCUGAGGAGUAGAGGCCUGCACUAUCCAUCGUAUUCAAAAUGUCCCCUGCCUGAGCAGGGGUUUGUACCAGAUGACCUCCAGAGGUGCCUUCUAACCUCAGCCACUCUGAUUAUGUGAUUCUGUGAUGCAGGAUGCAUGUAAAUUAAUUGUGGUAUAUAUUUUUUUUCUCCUAUCGUUCUUCAUUAUUUGCCAAAUAUUUCCAAACAUUGUGUCUGGCUUUUGAGCAGUGAGCUGACCUUUUAGUUUUACUUAUUGUUAAGAUCUUUUUUGGGUGAUAACAGUUCUGUUGGAGACCAUCCUAUGAUGUAUAAUAUUAAAAAUUUGCAUUCCCAACCCCUGACUUGUUUGUUUGUUGUAUUACAUACACUGAAAAUCAUCUGCAGCUUUAUUGUCUGUUCCCAAAACAUUGUUAUCUCUUGUGGGUACUCUAUGGGGGCAUUAUUAUUUUUUAACUACCCAGAACAAAGGCAUUGUCAGAAAUCUGCCAUCUCAGUAUUCAUCUGGCUUUUUCAAAUACUCUGUAAGUAUUGUUUCUCAGGGCUGGACAGAGAUCUGUUGGUGAUUUUUGCCUAACUGAAACUGAACAUUUAUUACUGUUCUUUCAGCCUUUUAGUAAGUUGCUUCUCUGGAGGAGAGCUGUUCCUGUCAUCUCAUGCAACAUAUAUUAAGGGCCUUUGGCAAGGUCUGUACAGAACAGUUUUUGGAAAUCCAAAUAGAGUAUAUCAGGUGAAUUUCACAUGUCCACAUGCCCACUGAUUCUUCCAAAUAAUUCUAAAGCAUUUGUCAGACAUAAAUUUGUCACACAUAUACACACUAAUUUUGACCUUCAGAAUUGUUUCUACUAGCAUACCUGGAACAGAAGUAGAGUUGAUGCUUUCUGAAACAUGUAUAAAAAAUUGUGUUUUGUAUGUUAACUUGCAGUCCCCUAGUACUGAGGUAAAACAUCACAGCUAUUAUGCUUUUUCAUUUGCACAUUUGAGGGGUUAUCAUAUGGUCUAGUGAUUUAUUGUUAUUCAUUUUGUUUACUUAAUCCCUUCUGUAAUUAUCCUACAGAAACUUUGGUUUCUGGGAGUUGUAUUACAGAAUAUUUUAAAGGUAAUUUUUUUGCACAGGAACUUUUCCAAGUUUGUCUGAAAUAAAAUGAGUACAAAAAUAA